RNAcentral lists this ribosomal RNA (479 nucleotides) under uncultured bacterium. RNAcentral describes it as "bacterial SSU rRNA". It matches the Rfam family "Bacterial small subunit ribosomal RNA", at positions 29 to 523 of the family's 1533-position model. The record is from RNAcentral.
AAUGAACGUUGGCGGCGUGGAUUAGGCAUGCAAGUCGUGCGAGAAGCUUCCUUCGGGAAGUGGACAGCGGCGAAAGGGAGAGUAAUACGUAGAAAUCUGCCCCUGAGUCCGGGAUAGCGUUGGGAAACUGGCGGUAAUACCGGAUAACGUCUUCGGACCAAAGGUGUGAUUCCGCUUGGGGAUGAGUCUACGUCCUAUUAGCUAGUUGGUGGGGUAAUGGCCUACCAAGGCAACGAUGGGUAGCGGGUGUGAGAGCAUGAUCCGCCUCACUGGGACUGAGACACUGCCCAGACACCUACGGGUGGCUGCAGUCGAGAAUCUUUGUCAAUGGACGAAAGUCUGAACAAGCGACGCCGCGUGCGGGAUGAAGGCCUUCGGGUUGUAAACCGCUGUCAGUUGGGAGGAAGAUCUGUGAAGAGCAGAUCCUGACCGAUCUUCAGAGGAAGGACGGGCUAAGUUCGUGCCAGCCGCCGCGGUAA